UACGUAGGGUGCGAGCGUUAAUCGGAAUUACUGGGCGUAAAGCGUGCGCAGGCGGUUUUGUAAGUCUGACGUGAAAUCCCCGGGCUCAACCUGGGAAUUGCGUUGGAGACUGCAAGGCUAGAAUCUGGCAGAGGGGGGUAGAAUUCCACGUGUAGCAGUGAAAUGCGUAGAGAUGUGGAGGAACACCGAUGGCGAAGGCAGCCCCCUGGGUCAAGAUUGACGCUCAUGCACGAAAGCGUGGGGAGCAAACAGG
This 253-nucleotide ribosomal RNA is filed under the name uncultured bacterium. RNAcentral describes it as "partial 16S ribosomal RNA". It matches the Rfam family "Bacterial small subunit ribosomal RNA", at positions 524 to 776 of the family's 1533-position model. The record is from RNAcentral.